ACAAGCGGUGGAGCAUUGUGGUUUAAUUCGACGAUACGCGAAGAACCUUACCCGGGUUUGACAUUGUAUCGAAGCAUCCAGAGAUGGAUGUGUCUCUUCGGAGACGGUAUGACAGGUGCUGCAUGGCUGUCGUCAGCUCGUGUCGUGAGAUGUUGGGUUAAGUCCCGCAACGAGCGCAACCCUUGUGUUUAGUUGCAAACAGGUCAAGCUGUGCACUCUAGACAGACUGCCGUGGACAACACGGAGGAAGGUGGGGAUGACGUCAAAUCAUCAUGCCCCUUAUGAUCUGGGCUACACACGUGCUACAAUGGCCGGUACAACGGGCAGCGAAGGAGCGAUCCGGAGCGAAUCCUAAAAAGCCGGUCCCAGUUCGGAUUGCAGGCUGAAACUCGCCUACAUGAAGUUGGAGUUGCUAGUAAUCGCGAAUCAGAGUGUCGCGGUGAAUGCGUUCCCGGGUCUU
RNAcentral lists this ribosomal RNA (460 nucleotides) under uncultured Fusibacter sp. RNAcentral's name for it is "bacterial SSU rRNA". It matches the Rfam family "Bacterial small subunit ribosomal RNA", at positions 925 to 1382 of the family's 1533-position model. Lineage: Bacteria; Bacillati; Bacillota; Clostridia; Eubacteriales; Fusibacteraceae. The record is from RNAcentral.